CCUACGGGAGGCAGCAGUGGGGAAUAUUGGACAAUGGGCGGAAGCCUGAUCCAGCAAUGCCGCGUGAGUGAUGAAGGCCUUAGGGUUGUAAAGCUCUUUUACCCGGGAUGAUAAUGACAGUACCGGGAGAAUAAGCUCCGGCUAACUCCGUGCCAGCAGCCGCGGUAAU
Molecule: ribosomal RNA, 169 nt
Filed under: uncultured bacterium
Lineage: Bacteria
Description: partial 16S ribosomal RNA
Rfam family: Bacterial small subunit ribosomal RNA
Source: RNAcentral